RNAcentral lists this ribosomal RNA (492 nucleotides) under uncultured bacterium. Its description in RNAcentral is "partial 16S ribosomal RNA". It matches the Rfam family "Bacterial small subunit ribosomal RNA", at positions 29 to 507 of the family's 1533-position model. The record is from RNAcentral.
AGUGAACGCUGGCGGUAUGCCUAAUACAUGCAAGUCGAGCGGACGCACAGUAAGCGCUCGCUUUUACGGUUGGCGAGUGGCGGACGGGUAAGGAAUAGAUCAGAAACUAAUUUGACGGGGGGGAUAACGUAGGGAAACUGACGCUACUACCGCAUACGACCUACGGGAGAAAGCAGAGGAUCUUGAGAGCUUGCCCGAUAGAAUGAGCCGAUGUCGGAUUAGCUAGUUGGCGGGGUAAAGGCACACCAAGGCGACGAUCCGUAGCUGAGCUGAGAGGAUGAUCAGCCACACUGGAACUGAGACACGGUCCAGACUCCUACGGGAGGCAGCAGUAGGGAAUAUUCGACAAUGGGCGCAAGCCUGACCGAGCCACGCCGCGUGAGUGAUGAAGGUCUUCGGAUCGUAAAACCCUGUUAUUAGGGAAGAAAAGAUGUGUAUGUAACUGUGCACAUCUUGACGGUACCUAAACAGAAAGCCACGGCUAACUUCGUG